UGCCAUAAUGAUGACAUUUUUAUUUGCUACUCUUGACUGUGAGGAUGACGAGAAUCAUUUACCACCAUUAUUCCAACUGAGGCA
Molecule: small nucleolar RNA, 84 nt
Filed under: Catagonus wagneri (Chacoan peccary)
Lineage: Eukaryota; Metazoa; Chordata; Mammalia; Artiodactyla; Tayassuidae
Description: Small nucleolar RNA SNORD24 (ENSCWAG00000018707.1)
Rfam family: Small nucleolar RNA SNORD24
About the family: U24 is a member of the C/D class of snoRNA which contain the C (UGAUGA) and D (CUGA) box motifs. C/D box snoRNAs have been shown to act as methylation guides for a number of RNA targets. U24 is encoded within an intron of the gene for ribosomal protein L7a in mammals, chicken and Fugu.
Source: Rfam by way of RNAcentral